This 244-nucleotide unclassified non-coding RNA is filed under the name uncultured fungus. RNAcentral's name for it is "partial contains 5.8S ribosomal RNA, internal transcribed spacer 2, and large subunit ribosomal RNA". The stretch from base 1 to 52 matches the Rfam family "5.8S ribosomal RNA", at positions 103 to 154 of the family's 154-position model. Lineage: Eukaryota; Fungi. The record is from RNAcentral.
AACGCACAUUGCGCCCUGUGGUAUUCCGCAGGGCAUGCCUGUUCGAGCGUCAUAACAACCACUCUAGCUCUGCUAGGACUUGGGCACCUGCCAGUUCAUUUUGGCAUGCCUUAAAACCUCACAGUAGCGCCGUCAAGCCUGAGCGUAGUAAACACACCACCGCUAAAGGAUUGAUGGAUGUCCAACCGUCUAAGCCUUUCUUUAGGUUGACCUCGGAUCAGGUAGGGAUACCCGCUGAACUUAA